RNAcentral lists this ribosomal RNA (229 nucleotides) under uncultured bacterium. RNAcentral's name for it is "partial 16S ribosomal RNA". It matches the Rfam family "Bacterial small subunit ribosomal RNA", at positions 568 to 796 of the family's 1533-position model. The record is from RNAcentral.
UGCGUAGGCGGAUUAAUAAGUCAGUGGAGAAAUCUUUCGGCUCAACCGAGAAACUGCCAUUGAUACUGUUAAUCUUGAGUUCGGUUGAGGUAGGCGGAAUGUGUAAUGUAGCGGUGAAAUGCUUAGAUAUUACACAGAACACCAAUUGCGUAGGCAGCUUACUAGACCGACACUGACGCUGAGGCACGAAAGCGUGGGGAGCGAACAGGAUUAGAUACCCUGGUAGUCC